UUGCAUGGAAUUGAACUUCUAUAGCAGAAAAUUAUUUGUUGUGAUUGAAUUAAAAGAAUGUCGUUCAGAUAAGUAAUUACAAAGAGAAGUCAUUUCCUUUAUAGAUACCCAUCCAUAUUCUCCGAUAGUGAUGAAAAACACUUUGUUUUGUUAAUAUAGAUAUAAAUCUCACACCAUUCAUGGCCCACCGUUAUUGGUUUGGAUGGAACUGGAAUUUCUGAUUCUUCUGCUGGAAUUCCCUUUCUCCAUCACAUGUUAGAUGUUAGUAAUCUUUUUUUUUUUUUUAAUUUGGAUCUAGUUUCUUGUUACUGUGAGAUUUGAUGCCCUCUCUCUAAUUAUAUGGUUGGUUUGUGUUUUUUAGCAACUUUCUUCGCAUGUGUUUUUCUGCAUGUGAGGGCAAUUAUUUUUUUUCUUAAUUACUGUGAGAUUUUUUUGUAAAAGAAUUCAAACUUAUGAUCAUUAGAAGUAAAUCCAAAACACAACUAGUUAAGCAGGCAACUGUUGAUAUUCACAUUGAUGAUCAUCACACUAACGAAAAUGUUGCUCUUGCUAUCGGAACUGUAUCACGGAGCGGAACGCUAACUAGAAUGGAAUUGACAACCUUACCAGGGGUUAGCAAGGGGAUUUUUUUUUUUUUGGCAAACAUAAGUAUGUUUAGGCACUAAAAGCUAGACAGUGGCUGGGUUUGCAGCGCUUGUGAUACACGCACAAGCAAUAAUCUGCAAAAAAAGAAGAAAAUCAGGAUUUUUAGGGUUUGUUAUGCUGGCUUGUUUCUGAGUUAUGAUGGAGUUGAGUUUUUGGGCGUGAUUUUAUUGAGGAGGUUGGCAAGGAUUCGGGGAAACUUUGAUUUGUUUUUGAUUGUAAACAAACCCUGAUUGAGCUGCGAUUUUGGUGUUUCUUCGGUUGGGAUUUCUGUUAAUUUUUGGGUCUGUUAUGGUUAAGUUUGGGGGCUGCUGCUGGUUCUGGUUGCCGUGGCUGGAGUGAUUUGGUGAGGAAGGGUGGCUUGGGUUUGAGAGUCAGUCAAGGGCUGUUACAGGUUAGUUUGUGAGGAAAGGACAUUGAAAAUGAGAAGUGAUGAGUUGAUUGAGGGGCUGGAAUGGUUUGAUUUGAAAUUGUAAUUUUUAGUUUUGAAUUGGCAGCUUAUGGGCUUAACUAAGAGAGAGGUCUAAUGAUUAAAAGGGGAAAGUUUGGGCUGCUGUUUUGGGAAGGCUUGCUAUGGCGGGAAGGUCCAUAGAGAGAGGAGAGGCUGUGGAUUGCUUGCUUGCUAGGUUCGGCGUUGUGGAAAUGUUGGAAAGGGGGGGACUGUCACAGCUGGUUUUGGUUUGUGAGGGGUGCUGCUGGUGUCUAAUUAAAAUAAGUGCAGACAUGUCUCUCUCUUUUUACCCUUCUUUAGUCAGAGUAUAUAACAAAGCAAGGUAUUCAAACA
Populus euphratica (Euphrates poplar) is the source of this 1426-nucleotide long non-coding RNA. RefSeq lists it as uncharacterized. NCBI's taxonomy places the organism in Eukaryota, Viridiplantae, Streptophyta, Magnoliopsida, Malpighiales, Salicaceae. The transcript is spliced from 2 exons. The record is from RefSeq and is a predicted model, not a curated record.